UGCAAAAUUAUGAUUCAUGAUGGCCUUCUA
This 30-nucleotide non-coding RNA is filed under the name Mus musculus (house mouse). The record is from RNAcentral. Lineage: Eukaryota; Metazoa; Chordata; Mammalia; Rodentia; Muridae.